Non-coding RNA from Ricinus communis (castor bean), 115 nucleotides. NCBI's taxonomy places the organism in Eukaryota, Viridiplantae, Streptophyta, Magnoliopsida, Malpighiales, Euphorbiaceae. The record is from Rfam.
GGGUGCGAUCAUACCAGCACUAAUGCACCGGAUCCCAUCAGAACUACGAAGUUAAACAUGUUUGGGCGAGAGUAGUACUAAGAAUUCCUUUUGGGAAGUACUCGUGUUGCACCCC